This is a long non-coding RNA of Peromyscus maniculatus bairdii (prairie deer mouse), 406 nucleotides long. RefSeq lists it as uncharacterized. The record is from RefSeq and is a predicted model, not a curated record. NCBI's taxonomy places the organism in Eukaryota, Metazoa, Chordata, Mammalia, Rodentia, Cricetidae.
CUACUACCAGGACCCAGCCCAGGCUGUGGACAAGCAGCAGGACACUGGAGAAUUGAUUGCACUCCUUUUGCCUAUAUAAAAGUACUGGGAUUACACACUGGACCACCAUUCCCAGCAGUUUCCAGUUUUCAGAAGAGGCUUUCCUCCAAGAAUCUGGAGUUCGUGGAGGGCACUUCCAAGAGGCGUUGAGUUCUCACACUCUUACCAGUCGGUUCAAGGAAGAAAAAUAAAAGGAUAAAGUAUCCGAGCUGAGUUCGCUGAAGCUGAGAUGCACGAGACGUGCUUUCCCCCCACGGGCACCUGUCCACGAGUUUGCAGAGAGUGAGAAGAUUCCGGGAUUGGCCAGUCUCAUCCCAUGCUCAUGUCUACCCUUGGUGACCCUUUCCUUCUACGUUUAAUAAACAAA